GAUACUAGGGUCAAAAGGUCAUAACACACAUGAGCUUGCUCAGAUGUGGGUUAAUGACCUUAUGACCCGCCAAAAUAUGAGCAUAAAAGUGGGACGUAAGUGCCACGAUAUGCGAAUAUUUUGUAGGAUUGUGGGAGUACGAAGUACGGAACAAUCCGCAGGUAUC
RNAcentral lists this small RNA (166 nucleotides) under pig gut metagenome. Its description in RNAcentral is "Clostridiales-1 RNA". It matches the Rfam family "Clostridiales-1 RNA". The record is from RNAcentral.